UCCCACCCCGCUGUGACCUUUAGGAAGGCAUCCAUCUGGCCAUUUGCAAAGUGGAUUCUCAUCUUUCAGUCUGUAUCAUUUCAAUGUCAUCUGCUACAGAGAGGCAAUUAGAUAAGGAAACAGGAGUUUUCUGAGCACCCCCACCCCCUGAUGGCCGUGACUUCCACGGAAGCAUCCCAUUCUCCAGAGAGCCUGGUUUGAAUCGCACGUUUGCAGAGUUCCGGAAACCUCUUUCAGAGUAUCUGAGAAGCUCCCCUCACUGGAGCCACAAAAUCCCAUCUCCACAUGCAGUUUUGUCCCGGCGUGUUUGAUGGGGCUGAAUCACUGGCCACGGCCUCGCAGGAAGCCCUCCUGGAGUGGAGACAGUUGUUAAAGGGCCUGAAUAAAUCUGUCCUUGGACAACUA
Long non-coding RNA from Piliocolobus tephrosceles (Ugandan red Colobus), 405 nucleotides. RefSeq lists it as uncharacterized. The transcript has 4 exons. NCBI's taxonomy places the organism in Eukaryota, Metazoa, Chordata, Mammalia, Primates, Cercopithecidae. The record is from RefSeq and is a predicted model, not a curated record.